RNAcentral lists this ribosomal RNA (253 nucleotides) under uncultured bacterium. Its description in RNAcentral is "partial 16S ribosomal RNA". It matches the Rfam family "Bacterial small subunit ribosomal RNA", at positions 524 to 776 of the family's 1533-position model. The record is from RNAcentral.
UACGUAGGUGGCAAGCGUUAUCCGGAUUUACUGGGUGUAAAGGGCGUGUAGGCGGGACUGCAAGUCAGAUGUGGAAACCACGGGCUCAACCUGUGGCCUGCAUUUGAAACUGUAGUUCUUGAGUACUGGAGAGGCAGACGGAAUUCCUAGUGUAGCGGUGAAAUGCGUAGAUAUUAGGAGGAACACCAGUGGCGAAGGCGGUCUGCUGGACAGCAACUGACGCUGAGGCGCGAAAGCGUGGGGAGCAAACAGG